Molecule: small RNA, 28 nt
Filed under: Bombyx mori (domestic silkworm)
Lineage: Eukaryota; Metazoa; Arthropoda; Insecta; Lepidoptera; Bombycidae
Description: ovarian small RNA-8250
Source: RNAcentral
UGAUAAACAAGUAAGAUGUCCCAUGGGU